GAUGAAGAACGCAGCAAAAUGCGAUAAGUAAUGUGAAUUGCAGAAUUCAGUGAAUCAUCGAAUCUUUGAACGCACAUUGCGCCCGCCAGUAUUCUGGCGGGCAUGCCUGUUCGAGCGUCAUUUCAACCCUCAAGCACAGCUUGGUGUUGGGACUCGCGUUAAUUCGCGUUCCUCAAAUUGAUUGGUGGUCACGUCGAGCUUCCAUAGCGUAGUAGUAAAACCCUCGUUACUGGUAAUCGUCGCGGCCACGCCGUUAAACCCCAACUUCUGAAUGUUGACCUCGGAUCAGGUAGGAAUACCCGCUGAACUUAAGCAUAUCAAUAAGCGGAGGA
This 332-nucleotide unclassified non-coding RNA is filed under the name soil metagenome. RNAcentral's name for it is "partial contains 5.8S ribosomal RNA, internal transcribed spacer 2, and large subunit ribosomal RNA". The stretch from base 1 to 120 matches the Rfam family "5.8S ribosomal RNA", at positions 35 to 154 of the family's 154-position model. The record is from RNAcentral.